Molecule: ribosomal RNA, 1779 nt
Filed under: Triticum aestivum (bread wheat)
Lineage: Eukaryota; Viridiplantae; Streptophyta; Magnoliopsida; Poales; Poaceae
Description: partial small subunit ribosomal RNA
Source: RNAcentral
AUGGCCAAGCCCAAGGCAAAGCGGCUCAAGUCGUCCCCCAACGACGCCGCAGCGGCCGACGGCGUGGCCGCGAGCGCCAUCGCGUCCUCCUACAACGACCACAUACGCCCGCUCCUGGACGCCGUGGACCGUCUGCGCCAUCUCAAUGUCACGCAGGAGGGCAUCCAGCUGCCCACCAUCGUCGUCGUCGGCGACCAGUCCAGCGGCAAGUCCAGCGUUCUCGAGUCGCUCGCCGGCAUCAGCCUCCCGCGCGGCCAGGGUAUCUGCACCCGCGCGCCGCUCGUCAUGCGCCUCAAGGGCGACCCUUCCGGCGGCGACGCCCCCGUGCUGCAGCUCGAGUACGGCGCCGGCCGCGUCGUCAGCACCUCCGAGGCCGAGAUCGCCGGCUCUGGCAAGGGCAUCUCCGACAGGCCCAUCACCCUCUUCGUGCGGAAGCGCGGCCUCCCGGACCUCACCCUCGUCGACCUCCCCGGCAUCACGCGCGUGCCCGUCAAGGGCCAGCCCGACGACAUCUACGAGCAGGUCGCCGGGAUCAUCCAGGAGUACAUCGCGCCCAAGGAGAGCAUAAUCCUCAACGUGCUCUCCGCCACGGUCGACUUCCCGACCUGCGAGUCCAUCCGGAUGUCGCAGCAGGUGGACCGCAACGGCGACCGCACGCUUGCCGUCGUCACCAAACAAGUCACCAUGGACGACGUCAACAUCGGCCUCGGUUACGUCUGCGUCCGCAACCGCGUCGGCGACGAGACGCACGACCAGGCGCGCGCCGAGGAGGAGCGGCUGUUCGACCAUCACCCGCUCCUGUCCAGAAUCGACAAGUCCAUGGUGGGCAUCGCCGUGCUCGUGCAGCGCCUCAUGCAGAUCCAGGCGACCAUCAUCGCCAAGUGCCUCCCCGACAUCGUGUCAUCCACUGCCGAGCUGGAGCAGAUGCCACCGGAUCUCAACAACGUCGCCGACGCGGUGCGAGCCUUUUUCCACAUUGUCAAGCGGACGUGCUCGUCGGUGGAGAAGAUGCUCGUGAGGGGCGAGUUCGAGGAGUGCCCCGACGACCGCCACUUCCACGGAACCGCGCGUAUCGCCGAGAUGCUGAACGCGUACGCGAAGAAGCUGCCGGCGGAGUGCCCCGAGCACGGCAGUUACCUGUUCCUGAUGGAGGAGGUGCGCAUCCUGGAGGAGACCACGGCCAUCAAGCUCCCCGACUUCCUCCCAAGGUCGGCGUUCCUCGUCCUGCUCAAGAAGAAGGUCCAGACCGUCGUGCAGGGGCCGCACGACCUCGUCCGCGAGGUCUGGGACUAUGUCGAGGACCUGACGCUCAAGGUGCUGCUGCAGCACUCGACCGACUUCCCGCAGGUGCAGCCGUCAUGCCGCCGCGCCGUCCAGAGCAUGAUGGACAAGGCACGAGCGCAGUCGGCGCGGCACGUCACGGAGCUGAUCGACAUGGAGCUUGUGGCCGACUACACGUACAAUCCCGACUACAGCAAGCUCAUGGAAGGCUACGGCAAGUUCAUGGAGGCCGUGAAAGACCGCACCAAACCCACGGCCGUCACCCUGAAGGGCUUCGGGAAGGUGGAGCGCCUUGCCGAGAACGACCUCGAGGUGGCGCUCUCUGACGAGCUCCUUGGGAACAAGAUGACCGGGGUGGAGCGGAUGCUCGCGCCGUCGCCCGGCACUGGCAGCAAGCGCCAGCGCCUCAAGAAGAGCAUCGUAUUGCUUCAGCAGUCCAAGGAGGCCGUGGCUUACAUCAUGGGAAAAAAAUUAUAUGAGACCAGAUCUCAUGGUUAG